GACGAAGCGAGCGAACGUUGUUCGGAAUCACUGGGCUUAAAGGGCGCGUAGGCGGGCUGCCAAGUCCGUGGUGAAAUCCCCCGGCUCAACCGGGGAAGGGCCUCGGAUACUGGCGGCCUCGAGGGGGGUAGGGGCGUGCGGAACUGUGGGUGGAGCGGUGAAAUGCGUUGAUAUCCACAGGAACUCCGGUGGCGAAGGCGGCGCGCUGGACCCCAUCUGACGCUGAGGCGCGAAAGCCAGGGGAGCGAACGGG
RNAcentral lists this ribosomal RNA (253 nucleotides) under uncultured bacterium. RNAcentral describes it as "partial 16S ribosomal RNA". It matches the Rfam family "Bacterial small subunit ribosomal RNA", at positions 524 to 776 of the family's 1533-position model. The record is from RNAcentral.